CAGCAGUCGCCGCGGUAAUACGUAGGUGGCAAGCGUUGUCCGGAAUUAUUGGGCGUAAAGCGCGCGCAGGUGGUUUAAUAAGUCUGAUGUGAAAGCCCACGGCUCAACCGUGGAGGGUCAUUGGAAACUGUUAAACUUGAGUGCAGGAGAGAAAAGUGGAAUUCCUAGUGUAGCGGUGAAAUGCGUAGAGAUUAGGAGGAACACCAGUGGCGAAGGCGGCUUUUUGGCCUGUAACUGACACUGAGGUGCGAAAGCGUGGGGAGCAAACAGGAUUAGAUACCCCCGUAGUCCCUGUCUCUUAUAC
This 304-nucleotide ribosomal RNA is filed under the name uncultured bacterium. Its description in RNAcentral is "partial 16S ribosomal RNA". It matches the Rfam family "Bacterial small subunit ribosomal RNA", at positions 509 to 807 of the family's 1533-position model. The record is from RNAcentral.